This 602-nucleotide transfer RNA is filed under the name uncultured Prochlorococcus sp. Its description in RNAcentral is "partial 16S-23S ribosomal RNA intergenic spacer". The stretch from base 218 to 290 matches the Rfam family "tRNA". The record is from RNAcentral. Lineage: Bacteria; Bacillati; Cyanobacteriota; Cyanophyceae; Synechococcales; Prochlorococcaceae.
UGCGAGACCAUUAUCUUUCAUUUAUGGCCGCAAUCCUGUCACCUUAGGUCGAUCGGUACCUCAGUUUUAUAUCUCUAAAGGAUAUUUGAAUUCAGUCCUAAACUUGUCUAGGUCACACCCAACAGGGUACUCCUGGGCCAUUAGCUCAGGUGGUUAGAGCGCACCCCUGAUAAGGGUGAGGUCCCUGGUUCAAGUCCAGGAUGGCCCAUUCGGUGUUGGGGGUAUAGCUCAGUUGGUAGAGCGCCUGCUUUGCAAGCAGGAUGUCAGCGGUUCGAGUCCGCUUACCUCCACUGAUCCCCUCCUAACGAUAUUUUAAGGAGAUUUAUUGAUGGUUGUGAUCUAGUAUUUGUUCUCAAACUAAGAACCUAGCUUCUUGUCAUUCCAACUUAUUUUUGGUUGAUAAGACGCUGGGCUCCCUGCAAUAUAAGUUGCAGAGAACUUCAGUAGAACCUUGACAACUGCAUAGUGAGUCUGGAAAAGAAUAAAGCAUCUCAUGGAUACAUUAUUUUUAGAUCAGUUUCGAUUUUUAUUUAAAUAGAAUUCUAAAUUGGUUUAAAUUAAAUAGUGUUCAAUUCUUGAGCAGAGCCGAGACUUCUAAAAUG